Molecule: transfer RNA, 75 nt
Filed under: Candidatus Phytoplasma phoenicium
Lineage: Bacteria; Bacillati; Mycoplasmatota; Mollicutes; Acholeplasmatales; Acholeplasmataceae
Description: tRNA-Gly
Rfam family: tRNA
About the family: Transfer RNA (tRNA) molecules are approximately 80 nucleotides in length. Their secondary structure includes four short double-helical elements and three loops (D, anti-codon, and T loops).
Source: RNAcentral
GCGAAUGUCGUAUAGUGGUUAUUACAUAUGCUUGCCAAGCAUGAAACGGGGGUUCGAUUCCCCUCAUUCGCUCCA